AUACUUACCUGGAAGGGCAACUCCAUGCUCACGAAGGUGGUUUCUCCAGGGUGAGACUCGCCCAUUGCAUUCUGGGUGUGUGACCUCUAUGAUUUCUCCAAAUGUAGGAAACUCGACUGCAUAAUUUAUGGUGGUGAGGGACUGCAUGUGCACUCUCCUC
Small nuclear RNA from Suncus etruscus (white-toothed pygmy shrew), 160 nucleotides. RefSeq annotates it as U1 spliceosomal RNA. NCBI's taxonomy places the organism in Eukaryota, Metazoa, Chordata, Mammalia, Eulipotyphla, Soricidae. The transcript has a single exon. The record is from RefSeq and is a predicted model, not a curated record.